This is a long non-coding RNA of Pseudomyrmex gracilis, 1772 nucleotides long. RefSeq lists it as uncharacterized. Lineage: Eukaryota; Metazoa; Arthropoda; Insecta; Hymenoptera; Formicidae. The record is from RefSeq and is a predicted model, not a curated record. The transcript has 3 exons.
AGUAUAGGAGGAAUUUGACGUGCCACUGCUAUUCCGAAUUCAGUAAUUAAAUAUUUUCCGGACCGAAUUGAACGGUGAUGCGACUUCGAAUUUAUUAUUUUGACGCAAUAUCAAAGCGACACGGCCGCUUUUCAAUAGUCGAGAAGCGCUAGAUUCGCGCUGAUCUAAAGUUGCAUGCAAAUCGGAAAGCGUAUCCGUCAACAAUGCGAAGAAAAAACGUUUCCUUCGUCACGUCCGUGUGAUGACUUCAAAGUGCUGUCAGAAGUACAGGACGAGCGGCAAACAUGCGAGAUCCCGGCGUACACUGGUCUAUCGACACGAAUAUGCUAAUGAUCUCGUGGCGGGCGGCGCGCGACGAAAUCGUAAAACGGUACGUUACCGCGCGGCGUAACAAGGCGUGAAGAGUGAAUUAGAUGGUGACGUCACGGAUUUACCGAAAACGCGUUUCGUCGACGUCGUGAAGCGAUCGGCAGUAGCAGCUACUAACAACGACGCGCGGAAAGAGAAGCGCAAAGCGAGACGGAAAGGAAGAGAGAAGAAGGCAACAGAUCUCCCUGCAGGCUCGUAAACUGGCGCAAUGGCCCUGAGAAGAGGGGUUUCGUCGAGACCAAAAAGCGGACGGAGGUCGUCAAUGUUGAUGAUGCGUGGAUCACGAUGUACUGACGGCUCCAUCAUAGCCCCCGUCUCUUGCGCGUACCUUCUCCCCGUUCCUCUUCUCUUUCUUCUGCUCUUUUCUAUUCUAUAGAAAAAUAUAGAGCGACCUACUCCAUUUGCUUUAUUGAAAUAACGCGAAGGGCCCAACCGCUUUCAUUGCGAUCGGCACGUUUCACCGCGAUGAUCGAAUUUUAUUACGACGAUUUUCGAAGAUUUACUUUUGACCGUCCGACACACAAGAGGGUGUCCUCGAGGAUUUUCUAAAGAUUAUAUAAACUGUUUACGCUUUAUAAUUUAUUACUGAGACGUGACAAAUAAUAUUUACUUUAUAAGAAAGAGAAAAAAGUCUUUUUUUUUACUGAUAUGUGAAAGUAAAUAUCUUUAGAUAACAAGAGAGAGUGUGCUCUGCGCUAAUCAGUUUUCAAUUUUUCAUUAUAUUUUAAUCGUAUCACCGGUGGUGUUUACAAUUACUCGUGAAAUCAUACAGUGUUAUAAACAUAUAUAUAUAUAUAUAUUUACGGAAAAGUCAGGCACACGUAGAGAUCAGAUAGCACUCAUGCUGACUACGAAAUAGAUCGCGCAGCUAUUACCAUAUGUUGUUUUCUGCUUAGCAUAUUCUUGGCGGGACGACAACGAGGACGGGUUUUGCUGCAUUCCGAUUAAGUCCGUAAUUAUAACGAACCUUGAGUUCAACGGUUAUUGUGCACUUUGCUAUUGCGGAAAUACAGCUGCUUCUGGCGUGCGCUGUACGUCGUAUUUCUAGAGACGAUGCCGGAAACGUCGUCUAUUUCUGUUUAAAUUAUUACGGUUACAGUUGAGAACCGGUCUUGUGUGUAUUAACAAAUAUAUUUUUCGCGAGUAUGAAAAUUCUGUGCGCUGUAUCGGAAACAACAUCACACGAAAAUGGCGAAAUCCGAUAUAUCGUUUUAUUCAACUGCGCAAAAAUACAUUCUCGGACAAAAAUAACGUUACGUUUGUUUCGGGAAAGGAAAACGUUACACAAUUUAAGGAGUAACGAAUCUAAUACUCAGAUACCGCCGCUUUUGCGUGAUGUCAUUUCUGAGAAUAUAAAUAUAUUUUUUUGAUAAUAUGUUUCUUGAAAACCGCAACGUGGCGAG